RNAcentral lists this long non-coding RNA (985 nucleotides) under Felis catus (domestic cat). RNAcentral describes it as "lncRNA (ENSFCAG00000041800.2)". The record is from RNAcentral. Lineage: Eukaryota; Metazoa; Chordata; Mammalia; Carnivora; Felidae.
CCUGUUCUUCCUAAGUGCUGUUCAAGUCACCAGCAGCUCAGAAAACCAUCGAACAUCGGAGAAUGGCCACUGCACACAUUAAUGCUUCCACUGCUGCCCUUUGACGGUUUUUGUACCUAUUCAUGCUGUUUCAGGUUCAGUGUUGUCAUCUCACACUGGACUCCUGUUCUCCAACAAGUGACUGUGUAAACGGGGAGGAGAGAAAUCGCAAGGUUUCUAACAAUUAUCUGCAGCUUUCUUACCAAGACCCAGUAGCCUGCAGAAGAGAACGCCUCCAAUUUCCUGCCCUCUCAUUGGCAUGGCCUACACCCUCACUGUGUGACCUCAGGAACCUUGUCUCCCCAGGAGAGAAAGUCCUCAUUGCUGCAAGUUCCCUGAAAGAUUUGCGGAAGAAUCGGGCUCUUUUGUUUCUGCCCUUCAUUCAUCUUCCUUCCCUUUGCCAAAACAAACACACUUGCAUUCUGAAAUCAACAGCAUCAGCCAACUGUGUUUGCCAUGGCCUAACCCCUGCACAACCUGUGUUUGAACCCUUUGGAGGCUUUGAUGCCGAGACUGAAAAAUCCAAGUGAUGUUCAUUUAUCCCACUUGGAAUCGCUUGAUAAAUUGUGUUGCUGGAGUUAACACUUGCCAGUUAGUCUCUUUGGGUUUAUUGGCUUUGUGUCAACUUCAUCCAUCGCUGAAUUGGCCAAGUGGUGCACAUCCUGCGUGGCUUUUGGAUAGAAAGCUUCUCUUAACUUGCUUUGUGCUUGUUUGGAGCUUCCACUGGAAAUACUGCCUUCCUGGUCUGGCAAUACUCCUGUGAUCCAGGCAGGGAAGGUGUUUGCAUUUUUCAGACACUGAAACCGGUAUUUAAUUGGGAUCAGCGAUUCAUUCACAUUACAAGGCGCCUGGCAAAACCAGGACUUGAACGUAAGUCUCAUGACUGAAAAUUCAGUGAACUUACCCCAUUAUUCCCUUAGCAUCCAGUUUAGUGUUAAAUAAAGGA